AACAGAUAAUAAGCAGGAGGAGAGAGAAAGAGAGAGAGAGGAGGAUCAAUGAGUAAAUCAAGAAUGAAUAAAUUUGCAGAAGAUGCAAAUCAGUAGCGGUAAAUGGAAGCUGGUUCUCCACAUAUAAAGUGAGGUAACUCUCCACAAUAUCUCUCUCUCUCUCUCUCUCUCUCUCUCCCUAAUCCCCUUACUUU
Molecule: non-coding RNA, 194 nt
Organism: Podarcis lilfordi (Lilford's wall lizard)
Lineage: Eukaryota; Metazoa; Chordata; Lepidosauria; Squamata; Lacertidae
Source: the annotation of a GenBank genome assembly